CGUGGAGACAGGUGGUGCAUGGCUGUCGUCAGCUCGUGUCGUGAGAUGUUGGGCUAAGUCCCGCAACGAGCGCAACCCUCACCUCUUGUUGCCUUCAGGUCAUGCUGGGCACUCUAGAGGAACUGCCCCGGUCAACGGGGAGGAAGGCGGGGAUGACGUCAAGUCAUCAUGCCCCUUACGUCCUGGGCUACACACGUGCUACAAUGGCCGGUACAAAGGGAUGCCACACCGCGAGGUAGAGCUAAACCCAAAAAGCCGGUCUAAGUUCAGAUUGGAGUCUGCAACUCGACUCCAUGAAGGAGGAAUCGCUAGUAAUCGCGUAUCAGCACGACGCGGUGAAUACGUUCCCGGGCCUUGUACACACCGCCCGUCACACCACGAAAGCCUGCUGUACUCGAAGUCGCUGAG
This 408-nucleotide ribosomal RNA is filed under the name uncultured Methylomirabilota bacterium. Its description in RNAcentral is "bacterial SSU rRNA". It matches the Rfam family "Bacterial small subunit ribosomal RNA", at positions 1027 to 1434 of the family's 1533-position model. Lineage: Bacteria; Methylomirabilota (SeqCode). The record is from RNAcentral.